RNAcentral lists this long non-coding RNA (757 nucleotides) under Rattus norvegicus (Norway rat). RNAcentral describes it as "long non-coding RNA NONRATT020668". The record is from RNAcentral. Lineage: Eukaryota; Metazoa; Chordata; Mammalia; Rodentia; Muridae.
AAUGGCGACACGUGUCGCCAUCGAGAAAUUGGGAGCAAGACAAACCCAGAGAGAUGAAGUGACUGACCCAAGGUUACACAGGAUGGAAUCUGUAUCUUCUGAUUUCCUUACUGGCCCACAGUGCAUGUUCUGAGGAGCAGCCCUGGAAGCUACUGCGAUAAUGGAACAGUGGAGUAGAUAGUCCAUUAUAACUCAUCUGUGAUUCUUCUCAAAUUUAAGUGACUACAGCUCUGAAUGGCCUGGAACUUGAUAUGUAGGCCAGGUUGGCCUAUGAGCUCACAGACCUUUGUCCUGAGUCCUGGAAUUGAAGAUGUGUACCACCAUGCUGGACUUGCUUUAUGGAUUCGAGACAUGGUCUCAGUGUGAAUUCCAUGUUGGCAUCACCGUGUAGUACAUGCUGGCCUGGAACGUGCCAUGUAGCUCAUAGUGAUCUUGAAUGCUUAGUCCUUCUACUGUAGCCUUUGAGUGCUGGGAUGUAGGUGUCUUUGUCUUCAUGUUAAUAUGUGUACCACAUGUGUCUGGUGUCCAAGGAGGUCAGAAGAGUGAUUUUCCUCUAGAACUGAAGUUAGAGAUGGUGGUGAAUUACCAUAUGGGUUUGAACCAAAGUCCUGUGUAAGAGCAAAUGCUGUUACACCGAGGAACUGUCAAGGUUUGUUUUUAAGGAAGAAUGUGUAAGUUUAGGUCUUCAUGUAGUUGGCUAGGACAUUUGAGUGAGAAAGUUGGGAAAGGAAUUAAAGAGAAAUUUCUACACUUUAUU